Molecule: non-coding RNA, 31 nt
Filed under: Homo sapiens (human)
Lineage: Eukaryota; Metazoa; Chordata; Mammalia; Primates; Hominidae
Source: RNAcentral
UGGAGUAACCAGUUUCCAAGUGGUGCCAUGU